This 443-nucleotide ribosomal RNA is filed under the name uncultured bacterium. RNAcentral describes it as "bacterial SSU rRNA". It matches the Rfam family "Bacterial small subunit ribosomal RNA", at positions 338 to 795 of the family's 1533-position model. The record is from RNAcentral.
CCUACGGGUGGCAGCAGUGGGGAAUAUUGCACAAUGGGGGAAACCCUGAUGCAGCGACGCCGCGUGAAGGAAGAAGGUCUUCGGAUCGUAAACUUCUAUCAGCAGGGAAGAAGAAAGUGACGGUACCUGAAUAAGAAGCCCCGGCUAACUACGUGCCAGCAGCCGCGGUAAUACGUAGGGGGCAAGCGUUAUCCGGAAUCACUGGGUGUAAAGGGUGCGUAGGCGGGAGGGCAAGUCAGAUGUGGAAGCCCGGAGCUCAACUCCGGGAUUGCAUUUGAAACUGUCUUACUAGCGUGCAGGAGAGGAAGGCGGAAUUCCUAGUGUAGCGGUGAAGUGCGUAGAUAUUAGGAAGAACACCAGUGGCGAAGGCGGCUUUAUGGACUGUAACUGACGCUGAGGCACGAAAGCGUGGGGAGCGAACAGGAUUAGAUACCCCAGUAGUC